RNAcentral lists this ribosomal RNA (539 nucleotides) under uncultured bacterium. Its description in RNAcentral is "bacterial SSU rRNA". It matches the Rfam family "Bacterial small subunit ribosomal RNA", at positions 355 to 893 of the family's 1533-position model. The record is from RNAcentral.
UGAGGAAUAUUGGUCAAUGGGCGAGAGCCUGAACCAGCCAAGUAGCGUGAAGGAUGACUGCCCUAUGGGUUGUAAACUUCUUUUAAUGGGGAAUAAAAUGAGAUACGUGUAUCUUUUUGCAUGUACCCAUCGAAUAAGGACCGGCUUAACUCCGUGCCAGCAGCCGCGGUAAUACGGAGGGUCCGAGCGUUAUCCGGAUUUAUUGGGUUUAAAGGGUGCGUAGGCGGGAUACUAAGUCAGCUGUGAAAGUUUAAUGCUCAACAUUGAAAUUGCAGUUGAAACUGGUAUUCUUGAGUGUAGUGGAAGUAGGUGGAAUUCGUGGUGUAGCGGUGAAAUGCUUAGAUAUCACGAAGAACUCCGAUUGCGAAGGCAGCUUACUAUCCUACAACUGACGCUGAGGCACGAAAGUGUGGGUAUCCAACAGGAUUAGAUACCCUGGUAGUCCACACGGUAAACGAUGAAUACUCGCUGUUUGCGAUACACAGUAAGCGGCAAAGCGAAAGCAUUAAGUAUUCCACCUGGGGAGUACGCCGGCAACG